Hyla sarda is the source of this 2954-nucleotide RNA transcript. RefSeq lists it as uncharacterized. The record is from RefSeq and is a predicted model, not a curated record. The transcript has 2 exons. Lineage: Eukaryota; Metazoa; Chordata; Amphibia; Anura; Hylidae.
GUCUGUUGUCUGGGCCUGUUAUUCCAGCACCUGUAUUCCAGACCUCUCAAAAUCAAGGGAUGCCCAAAUAAAAUGAUUGGGUUGAUAAAUUGGCAGAUCAAGUUGCUAAAUUAACUGAGAUAGUUAACAAACUGACCCAAGGAUCAACUGAAAGACCAAAGUCUUUUUUAGCAGCAGCUGUGGGUCCCAAGUCAGCUCUAUAAAGCUGACAGGGCAGGGUCAGAGCCCAGGCCCAUGCAAGGUUAAUGAGGCAGUUGCAGAAAAAUGUGAUGUGAUUUCUAACUUCAUGUUUCCUUGCAGUGUUCUUGACCCUAAAAUUGAGGCCGAAGAAGGGGUGUCUCAAUCCACUGCCCCCUCACCAGAGAGGGAGGGCGAUGUGUCUAAUGCAUUGUCUAUCUUGCAGUCUAACCAUGUGAAUUUUUGCACUGAUGUGUCUUCUCCAAAGCGUGAUCCCAUAAUCUCAGCAUCAAUCUGUGAGCUGCCGUCUGUGAGCUGUGACGUAAUCCAGUCUUCUCCAAAGGUGGGGGCUGCUGUGUGCUUCUCCAGAGGUAGUAUCACUGUAGUGGGAUCAAAUCCUGAAAAAGUGUCAGAUGAGUGAGCACCCUAAUUUCCUAUGUGAACUAUUUAAUGAUAUUUUGUUGAUUCAUAUUUCCAAGAUGAACUUAUAGGGCCAAUUAGAGGUUUACCUGACACAGGAUCACAAGCCACUACACUGUCAUAUAGUUAUUUCCAACAGGUUAUGGAUUUGACAGCAAAGAGGCCGCAUUUGAAGUUGUUCGAUGGCUCUUUGAUAAGUGUAGGUGGAGACGCUUUGCAGGUAAAAGGGACAAAAUGGUUAAAACUUAAAAUAGGCAAGAAAAUAAUUAGACAUCCCACAAUCAUUAUAGAUCUUCCUUAUGACCGGCUGAUCAUAGGAAUGGAUCUCCUGAAAAUAUUGAGUUCCAUAGUGGACUUCAUCAAUGUAGCAAUAUGGACUCAAGUAAAGGCACCAAUUGCCUAUAAAUACUCUUGUAAUGCACAGCCACAACCUAGUUGUCACGUGGUUGAAGAGAGGUUUCAUUCUGUUGAAGUUCAUUUUAGGAACAACCAGACACCGGACGUCACGAUCCUGAAAAAUGGUGAUCCCAUGGAAGCUAUUAAUGGUACUGCUCAUACCAUAACCAUCCAGAAGGACAGAAUUGAAAAAGUAAUAUUGGAUGGGGAUGUGCUUCAGGGGAAAUGUUCCGAAGUGGCGGAUCUGACCAGGCCUAGACAAUCCAUGGUUCGGAUAAAAAAGGUAGGUGAUAACUUAUUGAUUCCCAUACAGGUGAACAAUAUGGCCCGGACAAAAUAUGCCAAGUUGGAUCUAAAGUCUGAAGCUAGUUACAUUAGUCUAGAUCUUUUAAAACAGGUAUCCAACCCUAAAGUGAUCAGGUAUUCCUCUCCACAGGACCAGUGGGUUCAUGAUCUGGAUGGUGAUUCCCAGAGUCAUAAUGCGAUUCCAAGAUGUUUACUUUCUAUUUCCAUAGGAGGUAAGACCGCUGAACAUUCCUCCAUCGUGUUGAAUGAGCCACGGUACCAAAUGUAUGUAGGUAAUGACCUUUUACACCCUUUCGCUGUGCAGAUCGAUCUGGUUAACAGUAACCUGUGGUCCAGAUUACCUGGGGAUCCGGAGGGGUUACAGGAUGAAGAACAAACCUUGAGAUGGGGACAACAGAUACCCUAUGCCAUAAGUAUCAUGGUUGCUGAUGAGGUUAAAAUCCCAGAAGGGUGCAAACAUACAUCCGGUAAAGAAGGGGCAGAAGUUAAAGAAUGCAGAUGCUCUCAUCCAUUUGUCUAACUGGAUAGAGCAACUCGGUCUUAAGGUAGCAUACACUCCUAUGGUGAACACCCAACAGAAUCCAUUGCAUAUGGUAAUUUAUAACAUGGCUUCCCAUAGCAUAUCCUUACAAAAGGGAACCAUAACUGGUCUAGAUAUGGAUUUGGGUUAUCACACUUUUGGAUUCCAGAACUAUGUAAUUGGACUUAUUCCUGAUGAAUAUCUGACAGAGGAGGAAAUAGUGGAACAACGUUUUUCCUCAACACCUGAAGUAUUAUUCAAUAUCCACUCUGUUUAUCCUUUCAGUUCUGAAGAAGGUACAUGCCACAUUGAAGAAGCAUUGUUGGUUUUCAACCAUGAGAGCGAUGAGAAGGAGUAUGAGUCAUACCAACUGCAAAACGAAAAGGUUUGGUCUUCCCCAUUGAAUCAGAUCGCGGAAGCCACUUCACCAGUGAGGUAAUGAUGAAAAUGUGGGAGAUACUGGGUGUAAAGAGAAAGCUGCAUAUAGCUUAUCGACUAGCAUCUAGUGGUUGAGUAGAGCGAUACAAUCAGUCCAUUGUAAACAUUCUUAAGAAGUUUGUUAAUGAAUUUUGUAAGGACUGGGAUGUGAAGUUGCCUUUGGUCCUGAUGGCUAUCAGGGCCACACCAAGCGCAGCAACCAAACUUUCUCCAUUCAAAAUGAUCACAGGUAGGAAGAUGGUUUUACCCCAACUCUACCGAACAACUGAUCACAAUUUGAUUAAUGCUUCAACAGCCCAUCAAUAUGUGGAGAAUUUACGAAAGCACCUGCAGCAUGCUUUUGCGUUUGCCCAGAGGAAUUUGGAGAAAGCUGCCAUAAGCACCAAAACCUACUAUGAUCUGAAGUUUUAUCUCUACAACUUUGCCCCGGACCAGGUGAAGGAAAGGAAGUUCUUGCCUCCAUGGAAGGGACCGUAUGUCAUUACUGACAAAUUAUCACCUAUGGCAGUGGUCGGCAAGCCGCGGCUCUUUACACGCUUUAAUGCGACUCUUCUGUGUGCCGGGCACCCGCUCCCCUCCCUCCCGCCCCCUAGCAUGGUGGAGCCGAAGCUGUAAGCUCCCGCUCCACCAUUCACUAACCUUUCACGCACACUGUGAGUACACAGCGUGUUAGCUGCGGGGACGUGAUCCACUAAAA